CCCUUAGAUGUCCUGGGCCGCACGCGCGCUACACUGAGUGUCUGAGAUACGAGUCUGCCUGGUCCGGCAAGGUCUAGGUAAUCGCUAAAAGACACAUCAUGCUUGGGAUAGAUUAUUGCAAAUAUUAAUCUUGAACGAGGAAUUCCUAGUAAGCGCAAGUCAACAGCUUGCGUUUAUUACGUCCCUGCCCUUUGUACACACCGCCCGUCGCUACUACUGAUUGGAUGUUUAAGCGAGGUUCUCGAACUGCUAGCGACUUAGCUUCGGUGAGGUCGCAGCGUGGGAAGUGAACCUAGCUUUGGUGUCUAGAGGAAGUAAAAGUCGUAACA
RNAcentral lists this ribosomal RNA (329 nucleotides) under uncultured eukaryote. Its description in RNAcentral is "partial 18S ribosomal RNA". It matches the Rfam family "Eukaryotic small subunit ribosomal RNA", at positions 1470 to 1796 of the family's 1831-position model. The record is from RNAcentral.